GGCUCAGGACGAACGCUGGCGGCGUGCCUAAUACAUGCAAGUCGAGCGGACAGAAGGGAGCUUGCUCCCGGAUGUUAGCGGCGGACGGGUGAGUAACACGUGGGUAACCUGCCUGUAAGACUGGGAUAACUCCGGGAAACCGGAGCUAAUACCGGAUAGUUCCUUGAACCGCAUGGUUCAAGGAUGAAAGACGGUUUCGGCUGUCACUUACAGAUGGACCCGCGGCGCAUUAGCUAGUUGGUGGGGUAAUGGCUCACCAAGGCGACGAUGCGUAGCCGACCUGAGAGGGUGAUCGGCCACACUGGGACUGAGACACGGCCCAGACUCNUACGGGAGGCAGCAGUAGGGAAUCUUCCGCAAUGGACGAAAGUCUGACGGAGCAACGCCGCGUGAGUGAUGAAGGUUUUCGGAUCGUAAAGCUCUGUUGUUAGGGAAGAACAAGUGCGAGAGUAACUGCUCGCACCUUGACGGUACCUAACCAGAAAGCCACGGCUAACUACGUGCCAGCAGCCGCGGUAAUACGUAGGUGGCAAGCGUUGUCCGGAAUUAUUGGGCGUAAAGGGCUCGCAGGCGGUUUCUUAAGUCUGAUGUGAAAGCCCCCGGCUCAACCGGGGAGGGUCAUUGGAAACUGGGAAACUUGAGUGCAGAAGAGGAGAGUGGAAUUCCACGUGUAGCGGUGAAAUGCGUAGAGAUGUGGAGGAACACCAGUGGCGAAGGCGACUCUNUGGUCUGUAACUGACGCUGAGGAGCGAAAGCGUGGGGAGCGAACAGGAUUAGAUACCCUGGUAGUCCACGCCGUAAACGAUGAGUGCUAAGUGUUAGGGGGUUUCCGCCCCUUAGUGCUGCAGCUAACGCAUUAAGCACUCCGCCNGGGGAGUACGGUCGCAAGACUGAAACUCAAAGGAAUUGACGGGGGCCCGCACAAGCGGUGGAGCAUGUGGUUUAAUUCGAAGCAACGCGAANAACCUUACCAGGUCUUGACAUCCUCUGACAACCCUAGAGAUAGGGCUUUCCCUUCGGGGACAGAGUGACAGGUGGUGCAUGGUUGUCGUCAGCUCGUGUCGUGAGAUGUUGGGUUAAGUCCCGCAACGAGCGCAACCCUUGAUCUUAGUUGCCAGCAUUCAGUUGGGCACUCUAAGGUGACUGCCGGUGACAAACCGGAGGAAGGUGGGGAUGACGUCAAAUCAUCAUGCCCCUUAUGACCUGGGCUACACACGUGCUACAAUGGACAGAACAAAGGGCUGCAAGACCGCAAGGUUUAGCCAAUCCCAUAAAUCUGUUCUCAGUUCGGAUCGCAGUCUGCAACUCGACUGCGUGAAGCUGGAAUCGCUAGUAAUCGCGGAUCAGCAUGCCGCGGUGAAUACGUUCCCGGGCCUUGUACACACCGCCCGUCACACCACGAGAGUUUGCAACACCCGAAGUCGGUGAGGUAACCUUUAUGGAGCCAGCCGCCGAAGGUGGGGCAGAUGAUUGGGGUGAA
RNAcentral lists this ribosomal RNA (1480 nucleotides) under Bacillus sp. (in: firmicutes). RNAcentral's name for it is "bacterial SSU rRNA". It matches the Rfam family "Bacterial small subunit ribosomal RNA". The record is from RNAcentral. Lineage: Bacteria; Bacillati; Bacillota; Bacilli; Caryophanales; Bacillaceae.